AGCAUAUAAUAAAAAUUUCCUCCACUGCCUAUUGAAUGCGCUACACCCAGUCCAGUAGGAGGCGCUAAUUAUCCUUCAGUUGCCAACCGCCACUCAGGCCAAAAGCGCAGAAGAACAAAAAUGACCGGGAAAAUCUGACAGGACUGAGAAGAGGAUAACGGCACAGUGGGGUUUUAGAAGCCCAUCAGAGUGAUUUUCUGAGUUCUUUCACACGUGUAUGCUCAGCGAAUGGAUGGAUUAUCCAAGCAAGGUACAGAAUGAAAGACUUGACUGAGUUAGAAGAAGCUGGGCGACUCUUCAGAGUGAAGAUGUUAUGUGCCUGCUUUCGAACCACACCCGUGGAGAUAUCUGCCAACAAAUGGACAAUCAUUCAUGGGGCUACAGAUGGGGCUGCAUUCAAGAAUUUUCAAUAUGCAGUUAUGUCAAAGCGCUCGUUUCGGCUGGCCAGAUUGGAACAGACCUGAAUGGGAAGAUGGCAAAGCUAAGACUGACAAUGUCCAGGAAAAAUGUUAACUAAAAAUGAGUGUUUUUCCUCAGCGAGUGAGUUUGGGAAUGUUUUAAAUGUUCCUAAAAGUUUGAAAAUGUUAUACUGAGGGAAAAAAGUGAGCGCUUUGAAAAGGCUUUAAAAAGAAAAUAAAGUCUGAAGUUGAUGGUAAAUGAAUUUAAAGUUUUUACUUGAAAAGUUUGAACUUGUUUGUACUUGUCAAGUCUGUGCUGAAAAAAAUGGAGUAAAGUUUGUAUUUGAAAAGACUUGGAAUUGUGUGUUCUGUAGAAUGAGUACACAUAUAUGUGCAGGCUGUAUAAAAAAACAUAGUUGUGCCACUUAUAUAAGUGAAAGUACAUGGUGUCAUCAUAUUUGAAGCAUAUUUGUAUCCCUAAUAUAAGUGAAGGUACAUGGUGUCAUCAUAUUUGAAGCAUAUUUGUAUCCCUAAUAUAAGUGGACAAUCAUUCAUGGGGCUACAGAUGGGGCUGCAUUCAAGAAUUUUUAAUAUGCAGUUAUGUCAAAGCUCUCGUUUUGGCUGGCCAGAUUGGAACAGACCUGAAUGGGAAGAUGGCAAAGCUAAGACUGACAAUGUCCAGGAAAAAUGUUAACUAAAAAUGAGUGUUUUUCCUCAGCGAGUGAGUUUGGGAAUGUUUUAAAUGUUCCUAAAAGUUUGAAAAUGUUAUACUGAGGGAAAAAAGUGAGCGCUUUGAAAAGGCUUUAAAAAGAAAAUAAAGUCUGAAGUUGAUGGUAAAUGAAUAUUAAGUUUUUACUUGAAAAGUUUGU
This is a long non-coding RNA of Paramisgurnus dabryanus, 1267 nucleotides long. RefSeq lists it as uncharacterized. The record is from RefSeq and is a predicted model, not a curated record. Lineage: Eukaryota; Metazoa; Chordata; Actinopteri; Cypriniformes; Cobitidae.